Molecule: ribosomal RNA, 461 nt
Filed under: uncultured bacterium
Lineage: Bacteria
Description: bacterial SSU rRNA
Rfam family: Bacterial small subunit ribosomal RNA
Source: RNAcentral
UACGGAAGGCAGCAGGGGGAAUAUUGCACAAUGGGCGAAAGCCUGAUGCAGCUAUGCCGCGUGUAUGAAGAAGGCCUUAGGGUUGUAAAGUACUUUCAUCGGGGAGGAAAAAACAAAACUAAUAAUUUUAUUUCUUGACGUUACCCGAAAAAGAAGCACCGGCUAACUCCGUGCCAGCAGCCGCGGUAAUACGGAGGGUGCUAGCGUUAAUCAGAAUUACUGGGCGUAAAGAGCACGUAGGUGGUUUUUUUAAAGUCAGAUGUGAAAUCCCUGGGCUUAACCUAGGAACUGCAUUUUGAAACUGAAAUACUAGAGUAUCGUAGAGGGAGGUAGAAUUCUAGGUGUAGCGGUGAAAUGCGUAGAUAUCUGGAGGAAUACCUGUGGCGAAAGCGGCCUCCUAAACGAAUACUGACACUGAGGGUGCGAAAGCGUGGGGAGCAAACGAGGGAUUAGAUACCCGU